GGAGAUGUAGUACAGAUGGUAAAACGUUUGAUUAGCAUACGAAAGAUCAUGGGUUUGAUCCCUCAUGUCUUCA
Molecule: non-coding RNA, 73 nt
Organism: Zostera marina
Lineage: Eukaryota; Viridiplantae; Streptophyta; Magnoliopsida; Alismatales; Zosteraceae
Source: the annotation of a GenBank genome assembly